This 209-nucleotide ribosomal RNA is filed under the name uncultured bacterium. RNAcentral describes it as "partial 16S ribosomal RNA". It matches the Rfam family "Bacterial small subunit ribosomal RNA", at positions 1293 to 1500 of the family's 1533-position model. The record is from RNAcentral.
UCGGAUUGUAGUCUGCCCAACCGACUACAUGAAGCCGGAAUCGCUAGUAAUCGCGGAUCAGAAUGCCGCGGUGAAUACGUUCCCGGGCCUUGUACACACCGCCCGUCACACCAUGAGAGUUGGAAAUACCCGAAGCCUGUGAGCUAACAGUAAUGAGGCAGCAGUCGAAGGUAGAGCCAAUGAUUGGGGUGAAGUCGUAACAAGGUACC